UCUCGUUACUCAACAUUGAUAUUGUAAAUAUCCUCGCCAAUUGAAUUGAAAAGGAAUUUUAAUAUGCCCUAUUACAUACCCCUUUCCAUACAAAAGAAUAAUAUGCAUUUUAGUGCAGUGCAUUUGAACAUUAUUCCAAGCGUGGUUAAUAUUGUUUUUAAUGUGUUGAUGGUUUUCAAUGGGUUGUUACGGUUACAUAAUUAACGCAAUAUAAUUAUUCUCAACACCUUUCUCAAACAAUACAACAUGUACCUAAAAUGCACCUUUCUUAUGUUGGCCACUGUCAAAGUAACCGAUGAUAAUUGCGAUCUUUAAAUGACAUAGUCACGCUUCAUGUCAAAAGACAUUAAUUUUCACAUGUUAAACGGUUUCUCCGAUGGGUGAAGCAAAUUGUGGAACAUGUUGUUUGAUGCUCUAAAUUGGUUGGUAAUUUAGAAAUAACUUAUAUAUUAUGCAGAUACUCCCCGUAUCAUCAUACACGGGUCCCGUAAACCAAGAUCCACGGCAUAUUUCUUUCAAAUUAUCUUUCACUGUCUCAUCAAAUUUCGUAAUUGCCUGUUUGUUUCGUUUGUUUCCCAUAACUGCAGUUAAAUGAAUGAAUGACAGAGGCUUAAUCACAAACAGUAUUCUUUCUCAUAGCCGUUAAUCUGUUUAAUAAGGGGCAAUAAAUCGCACAACUGUAUCAAUGCGCUGAUUACCCCGUAGGCGCCCCUCUUACUGAGUGACUGCGAUUCCCAAUAUGGCAGCGCGGCGAAAACAAAAGUAGAAACGUGCGAUGCGUUGAAACAAACGGCGCUUUAUACAAUAUCUACUUAUCAUAUCUGCAUAAAAAUGGUAUCAAUAUGCAGAUAACAAAGUUGUCUUUUAAUAUAAUUUAAAAACAAAAAAAUGCAUUUUAUAGCCUUCAAAUAUAGUUAGACGCCUUAAGUAGAUAUAAGAAUUUGCAUUUUCUUUUAAUAUUUCAGGAUCAAAAAAACGAUGGUCGAAAGAGGAGGAGAGUGCUCUACGGGAAGCCUUUGACAUUCAGAUAAAAAUGCAGAAAAACGUUUCAACAAUGGAGAUCAGGAAAGCACAGAAGUGUUAUCCUGUGUUGCAAGACAGAUCAGAAGCUGUUAUUCGGACAAAAAUAAACAACAUCAAAUUAGGAAAAUACAAAAAAAUAUGAACUGAAUUCAACCACUGCUAGAUAAGGGUAAUUUAAAAAAAAAUAAAGCCAUUGGUUUACAGUUGUAUGAUCAUGAACAUUUCUUGUGUCAGAAUGCCGAAAUUGAUGAGUGAAUUGGACUUUGCAAAGACAUGUGUUUUUGAAAUUAUAAAUGACUUUCACUGUUUAGUUUUCGCAGUGACCUUUGGAGGAAAUUGCUUUUCCAAUCAAUAACUGGAGAACCGUUGGGCCAAGCUUUGUGAAACUUAAUAGGAAGGUUUGUUUUUUUGUUGACCUCUAUUGUUUUUAGGUGACUAGGUCAAAGGUCAAAGUGACCUUGUAUGUUCAAACACUGUGAAAGAGUUGGGCCUAAGUUAAAGAAACAUAGUGUAGUUGGCUGUGACCAGUAGAUGGCACCUAUGAAUUAUUCAAAUAAUAUAUUUUGGUCAAAACCAACACAAGACAAAAAUGGAGUGUAGACGAAGUUGCUGAAAUAAAGGAGUAUUUUAAGACUUAUUUGGAUUCUGGCAUAACACCUAGAAACAAAGAAGUACAGUUGGCCAUGGCAAAAAGCAGGAAGAACAACGGCAUUCUUUGGAUGAGAAAAGCACAUCUCAUUAUUAAGAAGAUCAGCAACUUGAACAAAGACAAACGAAAAAUGUCUGUUAUCCAUUGUUUCCAUUCAUAGGGUAUCAACAUUUACUGUGUUUUUAUGCCCAUCCGUGUCAGUGAAACAUUUUUAGUUUCAAAUUUGAAAUACAAGCCACUUGAAGCAUAGAAGGCUUAAGAAAAACAGCCAUAUGGACUAGCUUAUAUCCAGAUUUGUUACACAUUUUUUUUUAUGCUUUUAAUUUCUAUAACAUUUUAGUGUGCACUUAAUUUUACUGUUUAUGUAUUGUCAUUUGAUAUUGAGACAUAUUGGAAAUUAUAAACUUAUUGUGAAAGGUAGACCUAUCAGAAAUUACACUAUUUAUGAUAACAUACAAAACACGCAAUAAUGCUUAAAAACAAUAAUCCUUUAACGAAUUAAUUUAUAUAAUUUAAGAUAAUUUAAACUUUAUAUAUAGAGAAAAAUGGGUUAGUGUUGUUGACAACAACCGAAUAAGUUAAGUUUUUGAUGUUAUUUACCAAAUUUUUCAAUUGCUUAAAUAUAAUUUAUUGUAUAAUAUUCAUUUAAAGUGACAAAUCGUUUGAUUCUUUCUUAUAGCUGAACCUAUGGUUCUGCAGUCAAGCACUGUUCCACUUAGCCAUAGAGGAUUGAUUGAAAUAGAUUAAGAGUUAACACAUUUAUAUUACUGAUAAAAAAAAUGCUCAAAAUGUAAACAAACAUGAUAUAAAAGCAGGCAGCUUUUUUUCUUUAAAAAAUAUAAUUUAUUGUAUAAUAUUCAUUUAAAGUGACAAAUCGUUUGAUUCUUUCUUAUAGCUGAACCUAUGGUUCUGCAGUCAAGCACUGUUCCACUUAACCAGGGAGGAUUGAUUGAAAUAGAUUAAGAGUUGACACAUUUAUAUUACUGAUAAAAAAAUGCUCAAAAUGUAAACAAAAAUGAUAUAAAAGAAGACAGUUUUUUUUUAUUCAUUUUUUUUUUUUUUUUUUUUUCAAAUUAUUUGAAUUUAUACUGGGGGACAUGUUUUGCCCUGUCUGUUGGUUUGUUUGUUUGUUGGCUUGUUUGCCAUAACUUUUGCAAUAUUGAAGAUAUCAACUUGAUAUUUGGCAUGCAUGUGUAUCUCAUGGAGCUGCACAUUUUGAGUGAUGAAAGGUCAAAGGUCAAAUAUACGGUUAAAAGCGCUCAUUAAAUAUACACUAUAACUUCGUUAGAACUUCUUUCACAUACUUAAUAUCUCAUAUGUAAUGUAUCUCAUACAGCUGAACGUUUGAAAUAGUGAAUUGGUAACUUCAAUGUCACCCAUCUAGGUCAAAGGUCAAGUUCUUCUACAAACUCAAAUACUUCAAAUUUAAUUACAGAACUUUCUGUGUCAUUAAUACUAUAAUAGGCAUGAUUUGUGUAUCUGAACUCCAUCACUAGUGUAUCUUUUAUCCCUAUUAUCAAGGCGUCUUUUAUAACAUUAUACCAUAAUAUCCACAGCCUGUUGGCAUUUAUUGUUUAUAAUGUAUGUGACUUUAAAAUUAACAAAUUUCUAAAUGUGAGCAAUUUUUAUGUCCAUAACUGGUGUAACUUUGAUGUCCAUAACCUAAGUGACAUAUUCUAAGUAACGGUAAUGUCCGUAAGUUGUGUGACUUAAUUGUUCAUAACCUAAGUGACUGUCAUGUCCAUAAAUUGUGUGACUUUAAUGUUAAUAAUCUAUUCUAAGUAACAGUAAUGUCCAUAAGUUGUCUGACUGUAAUGUCCGUAAGUUGUGUGACUUAAUUGUUCAUAACCUAAGUGACUGUCAUGUCCAUAAAUUGUUGUGUGAUUUUAAUGUUAAUAAUCUAUUCUAAGUAACAGUAAUGUCCGUAAGUUGUGUGACUGUAAUGUCCAUAAGUUGUGUGACUUAUUUGUUCAUAACCUAAGUGACUGUCAUGUCCAUAAAUUGUGUGACUGUAAUUUUAUUAAACUAAGUAACUGGCAUGUCCAUAACUUGUGUGACUUUAACAUCCAUAACCUAAGUGACUGUAAUGUCAUAAAUUGUGUGACUUUAAUGUUAAUAAUCUAUUCUAAGUAACGGUAAUGUCCAUAAGUUGUGUGACUGUAAUGUCCAUAAGUUGUGUGACUGUAAUGUCCGUAAGUUGUGUGACUUAAUUGUUCAUAACCUAAGUGACUGUCAUGUCCAUAAAUUGUGUGACUUUAAUGUUAAUAAUCUAUUCUAAGUAACGGUAAUGUCCGUAAGUUGUGUGACUUAAAUGUUAAUUAUUUAAGUGACUGUCAUGUCCAUAAGUUGUGUGACUAUUAAUGUCUGUAAGUUGUUUGACUGUAAUGUCUGGGGCAACAACUGCAUUUAGUUGUUGAGUUACUAGUUAAUUAAUUAUUAAGUACCCCAGGGCAUGUAUGGAUUUGUGUUUUAAAACUUGGUAUUGUAUUUUGAAACAAUGUUUAUUGGAAAUAGAGGGAUUUUUAUUUAUUUUGUCGCACUGCUUUACUUACAAAAAUGCCCAAUUUUUUAUGUGAAACAGCCUUUGAAAGAAAAAUAUAGCAAAAAUUAUUUAAUUUUAUUUCUGAUAAUGUAGUCAGUCCGUAGAUGUCCCUUGACCAAAUAAAUGGUCCGCUAUCUACUUUUGUAGCCUGUUGAACAGGUAUCUGACUUAAGUUCUUUGUCCUUUUCUAUUAAACCUGUAUAUCCAUUUUUUACUACUUUGAGCACGAAUAAGAUGAAUGUUUGUCCCCAGUUUAUAGGUCAAGGUCACAGUGGACACUUUAAAUUUGUGUAUAUUCCUUAAAUGGAUGUAGUAAAAUUAUAUGUUCCUGCACGGCUUUAUUUUGUUAUAUUUUGUUUUAUUUUUGAUAUUGUAGUCGGUCAGUAGAUGUCCCUUGACCAAAUAAAUGGUCCGCUAUCUACUGUUGUAGCCUGUUUGACAGGUAUCUGACUAAGUUUUGUUAACGCCCGUUUGAAAAAACGGACAUAUUAUGUGAUCACCCAUGGGUGGGCGGCUUCCAGAUCUCUGAGUAUAACUCUUAAAGUAUAAGAGCUUUUCACAUGAAAAUUCAUAUAUGGAUUGAUUUCAUUGAGAAGAAGUGCAGUGCACGAGAACCAUAACUCUAGCUUGCUUAAUUUCAGAAUUAUACCACAUUUUAAAUUUUCUUUUCUGAGUCAUAACUUCAUAACUAUAAGGCCAAUUAACAUCAAACUUGGAAUAAACGUAGGUUGUGGUGUAUAGAAGUGCAGCCCACAAGAAUCAUAACUUUAGAUUGCAUAAUUUUAGAAAUAUCCCCAUUAAUAAUUUUGUUGGUAUGCCUUUUUUCUUGGUUGCCUGUUUUUUAUGUCCCCAGUCUAUGCUGGGGGACAUAUUGUUUUUGCCCUGUCUGUUGGUUUGUUUGCACAAACUUUAACAUUGGCCAUAACUUUUGCAAUAUUGAAGAUAGCAACUUGAUAUUUGGCAUGUAUGUGUAUCUCAUAGAGAAUAUUUCAUUGAGUGUGACCUUCUUGGUGACCUUCAAAAAAAAGACAAGCAUUGGGGCAUUACGACUCUUGUUUCAUCAAAAAAAAAAAUUUGUUCAAGGUAACUACAAUUAGUCCUCUACAACUUUCACAUUUUAUUUAGUUCAACAGUUCUAUCACAUUUUACAAGUUUUACAUAUUUUUGAGAAAAAAAGUAAAGCUGUGCUACUGUGGACAUUCAUUGUUUUACUCUUUUAUUAUUAAUUAAUGAUCUUUAAGAUUGGUAUCUUCAUUCCAUUUUGGACAUGGUCUGGUCAGUAUUAGUAUUAUACAUAUGAAUGUUAGAAGGUUCAUAUAUCUAUGUUUGCAAUUACAAGAUAAAAAUGCAGAUAAUAUUGCAGCCAAAUUGUGUUACAAUGUAUUACUAUCUGAUGUGUUGUGUGUCAUUGAAUAGCAUAAUCCAUGAGACAUCUUGCACCCAAGCUGAUCCAGGCAAAUGCUGGUCAUGCCCAAAGAAUUUUAUCUGCCAUUGAUUCUUAGAAGGUUUGUGCCCAGCACAUCAUCAGGCACAUUGAAUUUUUACCGUAAUGUAACAAUAAUACAUUGUUCUGGUUCUUACAUAGUUUCAAAUCGUGUAUUACUGUAUACAAAGUUCCCAUUUUAUGUCAUGGGCACAUGCAAGAUGCACAGAGAUGGCAAUAUUGAUAGUCCAGCAAUAUCAGUAGAUUUCUAUAUGAAAUGUAUAUAAACAGAAAUUUCAUUUUCUUUUAAUUUCAUCAUUUCUGGUCAUAUACCUAUCGUUCAUAUUUCAUUGGAAAGCUCUUGAAAUUCUUAAGAUGUCAUAAUUAAAAACUAAAAAUGAGGUUAAACAAACAGACCAUUUAUUGUUCAAUGUUCUUUUCAGUCAAAUUAUGGGAAAAAAAUCAUAUAGUGUAACUUUUAUGCUUAUAAUUUUCUGUAGACAAUAUUAUAUUGUAAAAUAUAUUUAUAUCUAAAAUGCAAAAUGAAUAACAGUUAAAAUGAUACCAUUUUGAGCUCACCUGAGCACGAAGCUUUUAGGAUCACCUUACGUCCGUUGUCCGUGGUGUGUCAACCUGCUUCAAAUGACAUCGCCUAAACUAUGCCAAUUUUGAUAAAACUUUACAAGAAUGAUCAUUGGGUGACCCUAUACUAAAAUUGCUUUAUUUGUUCUGCUUUUGUUGCACAAGAUGACUAUCAUUACUAAAAAUAAAAAAAAUCUUUAAGUGGCAUAUUCUUUUAAACCACUACGCCAAAUUUGCCAAAUAAGUUUACAGAAGUGAUCCUUGGGUUAUCCUUGACAAAAUUGAUUAAAUCAUUUCUUUAUGAUGCAAGAGAUGGCAGUUGUCGCUAGAACAUUAUUGGAUAUUUUGACAUGAACUAGUACACUAAUUGUUCAGGUGAGUGUCUAAGGGCCAUCGGGCCAUCUUGUUAAUAUACCCUCUCAGAGCUGUUAACAAUAUUUUUUAUAUUUAGUUAAAAAAUAACAGAAGCUAUUAACAUUUUCCCCCACUGUAAUUGUAAACUAUCAAAAUGGCUGCCAGAUUAUUGUAAAUAAGAACAAUAUAACUCUUAUCAGAUAGAAAAAUUGGUGCUUUGAAAACUAUAUUGAUAUUUUAUCUGUUUCUAUGUAUAGACGGCUUUGUAAAUUUCAUACAAUGAGUAGUUGGUUUCCUAUUGAACUAUUACGCCAUUUUGGCAUAGAACGUAACCAAAGAAUAUGUACUUUGUGAAGUUGUUUAGGUGAUGAGUUUCAGUACUGUUUCAGUCACUUUAAAUCUACACGUAAAAAAAUAUUUAUAAAUAUUUUAGAAUUCAUCCUCUUAUAAAAUGGAAAAGUUAAUGAAUACGUAAUAUACAUCUGUACUUUUUCAAGUUAGUAUUAUUUUGUAAAAUUGUUAUGAAUAAUUUUAUUCAUUAUAAAUCAUGUCAUGGAUUUUUAAUUACAUGUAAAUCUUAGUAUUGUGCUAUAGUCAUAAUUCUUUUAACUACAUUGUGAAAGUGUGACCUAGUGCUACUUUGACAUAAUAUAAUUGUUGUAAUAUCCUAAAAUCUGUUGUAAGUUUUGUUGCUUGUUAAUACAGUUCUACCGGUACUUGUUCUUGAGUUCAUAUUACUUUAGAAAUUAAUUAUGUUAGAUGUAUGUGUUUACAUCACACACAAUUGUGAUUCUACUGUAUAAUUAUAUAAGUAAAUAUGUCCAAUCUAGAAUCUGUUUUAUACUGAGCUUUCAUAUUUGGUAUGUAGCAUUAUCUAGAGGUCCGCUACCAAAGUUGUUCAAAUUGUUCCUCUGGGGUCAAAAUUGACUCCGCCCUGGGGGUCACAAUUUUACAUUGAAUUAUAUAAGGAAAACUUUAAAUGACUUGAACUGCUAAUGGGAUUUUGACCAAACUCAACAGAAAUGGUCCCUGGGUAGUCCUCUACCAAAAUUGUUCAAAUGGUUCUGAUUGGUUGCAUAAGUACACAUUGUCAAAAAAAAAAGGUUUUUAAAAUGCAACUUUCAAAAAUCUUCUUGUCUGAAACUACAAGACCCAGAGCUUUCAUAUUUGGUAUAUAGCAUCCUCUAGAAGUCCUCUUCCAAAUUUGGUUUAAGUUAUGCCCCUAGGGUUAAAAUUGACCCCGCACCGGGGGUCACAAUUUUACAUUGAAUUAUAUAAGGAAAACUUUAAAUGACUUCUUAUCUUGAACCGUUAAUGGGAAUUUGAACAAACUCAACAUUAACGGUCCCCUUACCACAAUUGUUCAAAUGGUUCUGAUUGGUUGCAUAAGUAGGUCAAGGGGUAAAAAAAUAGGUUUUCUAAAUGCAAUUUUCAAAAAUCUUCUUGUCUGAAACUACAAGUCCUAGAGCUUUCAUAUUAAUUUCAUGUAUAACAUCAUCUAGAGGUCCUCUACCAGUAUUUGGUGGACAACAUUAGUGGUCCUCUGUAAAUGGCUCCAUUGUGACCUUUGACCUUUUCCUAAGGUGAGCGACCCAGGGCCCUUUGGGCCCUCUUGUUAUUUUUCAUUAAAGGGACUCUCUCAGACACGUGUAAUUUGGGAGUAAAUAAACGUUAAAAAUUUGAUAUUCAACUUCCUCGUCACUAUACCAAAGACCGCUUUCAUUUUCCUUACUUAUAAGUUACUAAAACCCCAUGUUUUUGUUGCUUGGUGUGAAGUGAGCCUUCGCGCCAGUCUGUUCAACGUUGGGAAAGCCGGUUUAUAAAUAAACUGAGGAAUUCUUUUUCGCGCGCCAAGCUAUCACGUGACGUCUAAAAAUAAACACUACACAGCAACAUAGUAGCAAAGGGAAAUAAUCGUGCGCUUAGUUUGGGUGGAAUUCUGAACAUUUGAUGUAGAAAAUGCGAGUAUUUUUUAUUUUCCUUACCAAAUUGACCAAGAUUCAAUAAAUAUUAAUGUCUUCUCUAUUUGUUUUUGUCAUCGCUCGACCCAUUUUCGUCUAACGCAAAUAAUGUAUGCGACCAUGCACAUGUUCAGUAAACGUUUCCGAAGACCCACGUGACGAUGGUAUCUAAAAACACCACCUCUUAUUCUAAGUUAAGAUCGUUGUUUACAAAAUAAACCCGUUUAAACGGUCUUACAUAUCUGCGAUUUAAAUGUUAAUUUUCUUCUCUGUACAAAUAUGAGCAAGUUUGGAAAGCUGUCAAUAAUCUAGUUCUGUGUUACUUUAGAAAUGUAUGUUGUCGUGUUUAUGGUAGAAGACAAUUUAUUUACAAAAAGUUAAAAUCUCGAUCUCUGAGAGAGUCUCUUUAACGAAAAACCGGAGAACAGUAGUAAAAAUUAUUUAAAAUUUUGAGAAAAAGGCAUUCAUCGUUACCCCAAACCUUUAUUAUUAUCAGCCAUGUUUUUUUCAUAUCAGGGAUGGUCUAAAACCCGUGGUGUCUGGAACUGUAUAUGUUCUGAUUUUUUUACAAAUAAUGUUUUUUUGGGGGGGGCAGGUGGUUUUGGACAGGGGCGGGCGUGGAUGAGAAUCUAAAAUAUUUUUUUCUAUUGCCUAACUGUAAAAUAACAUAUCUUGAAAAAUAAAAUCCUGCAAAUACUUUCUACCUGUUGUUCUGUUACAUGUGUGUUGAACAUUUCUGUGACUUGUUAAAAUCCUAUGGACAAAUUUCUAGUCUAAAUUAGCUUCUCAAUUUAAAUAACUUGUUCCUUCAAAAUAGUGCAUGGUUUGAUAUUGUACUAUUUAAAAUUUGAAUUAAUAUUAUCUCUAGUCCUGGCAAGUCUAUGUUCUUUAAGUAAAUUGAAAUUAAAAGGUUUAUUCAUUUAAACAUUUUGCAAUGAUUUCUGUUAGUUCACAUCUUGUUAAAAUGUUUUAUACAUGCAUAGUUUAUGCCUUGGUUAAAUAAAAUCUGAAAUCUGUUGUGGGAAGUAUCAUACUAUGUAUUCGUGUUUCUGUUUGUAAAACGUUUAAUAAAACUAUUUAACAUAUA
Dreissena polymorpha is the source of this 9621-nucleotide long non-coding RNA. RefSeq lists it as uncharacterized. The record is from RefSeq and is a predicted model, not a curated record. The transcript is spliced from 2 exons. NCBI's taxonomy places the organism in Eukaryota, Metazoa, Mollusca, Bivalvia, Myida, Dreissenidae.